GCAAUGCCGCGUGUGUGAAGAAGGCCUGCGGGUUGUAAAGCACUUUCAGUAGAGAAGAAAAGCCUACGGUUAAUAACCCUGAGUCUUGACGUUACCUACAAAAGAAGCACCGGCUAACUCGUGCCAGCAGCCGCGGUAAUACGGAGGGUGCAAGCGUUAAUCG
RNAcentral lists this ribosomal RNA (163 nucleotides) under uncultured Gammaproteobacteria bacterium. Its description in RNAcentral is "partial 16S ribosomal RNA". It matches the Rfam family "Bacterial small subunit ribosomal RNA", at positions 391 to 547 of the family's 1533-position model. The record is from RNAcentral. Lineage: Bacteria; Pseudomonadati; Pseudomonadota; Gammaproteobacteria.